Molecule: ribosomal RNA, 465 nt
Filed under: uncultured bacterium
Lineage: Bacteria
Description: partial 16S ribosomal RNA
Rfam family: Bacterial small subunit ribosomal RNA
Source: RNAcentral
CCUACGGGUGACUGCAGUAGGGAAUCUUCCACAAUGGGCGAAAGCCUGAUGGAGCAACGCCGCGUGGGUGAAGAAGGUCUUCGGAUCGUAAAACCCUGUUGUUAGAGAAGAAAGUGCGUGAGAGUAACUGUUCACGUUUCGACGGUAUCUAACCAGAAAGCCACGGCUAACUACGUGCCAGCAGCCGCGGUAAUACGUAGGUGGCAAGCGUUAUCCGGAUUUAUUGGACGUAAAGGGAACGCAGGCGGUCUUUUAAGUCUGAUGUGAAAGCCUUCGGGUUAACCGGAGUAGUGCAUUGGAAACUGGGAGACGUGAGUGCAGAAGAGGAGAGUGGAACGCCAUGUGUAGCGGUGAAAUGCGUAGAUAUAUGGAAGAACACCAGUGGCGAAAGCGGCUCUCUGGUCUGUAACUGACGCUGAGGUUCGAAAGCGUGGGUAGCAAAUAGGAUUAGAUACCCUGGUAGUC